UGCGAAAAGAAACAAAAGCCCGAUAUCGGGGUGUCACAAGUCACAAGCAUCUACUAAGGACUAUCCGACAACAACUACGACUAUUACAGUCUGGAAAACACUAAUAUAGUCUAAGGAAGAUAAGAGGGAGAAGAGCAGGGCUGCGAUCUCCAUGUAUCUACCUUGCCAACUCCGAAUAUCCGUGGCGGAUGGAAGGGUCAGCGCUUGCUAUCACGUCCAGAAACCCCUGGAUCUGCACACAAGGUGCAUGGAGCAAUGUGAGUACGCCAAAUCAGUAAGUAACAAGGGUAAAUAAAGACUGAGCAGUAAGAGACACAUAAAUCCACGUCAUGAAAUCUCAGUAAGUACAACAUGCUUUCAAAUCAGUGUAUAAGUCAAAUAAUCUCUCCUACAGAUUUCAAUAAAAAAAUCAUUUGAAGAUAUUUUUCAACAGUUUCAACAGAGGUUCAAUAAAAUUUAGAGUAAAAGUAAUAAAAAUCAUUAAUAGUCCUCGGGCAAAACAUAUAUCAUCAACCGCCCCUCGGGCAUAAUAUCACUCAGAAUCAGCCCCUCGAGCAACCUCACAAUCACUCGUAAUUACCCCUCGGGCACAACAUGAAUCAAGAACAACCCCUAGGGAACAUCAUAUCACUCACUCAGGGUACCUGCGCUCACUAGGGGUGUAAAGACUCCGGAGGGGCUCCUAUAGCCCAAGCGUUGUAACAAGCCACCUCGUGGUGUAAAUCAAUCGAGCCCUCGGCCUCUCAUAAUCACAAAUCAGUAACAUCAUGUUGCGGUGCGCAUCCCGAUCCCAUAAUAUCCUCACAACACAUGUCAUCGGCCUUACUCAGUCAGAAACCUCUCAAGCCACUCGAGCUAUCAGUAAAACAGAGUGCUCAGCCCAAAAAUAUCAUUUAUGCAUCAAAACGGAAUAAUAAAUACUGAGUUAUGAAAUCAGUAAAACAUAGCAUGAUCGAGUACAUAUCGUAAAUCAAAACAGUGAGGAAAUAAUAAGAAAAGGCCCCUAAGGGUCCAAACAGCUUAGCGCGAGGCCCAAAUAUGGCAUUCAGCCCAAAUUAUAGAAAUUUUUUCUAAAACACAAAAGUAUCAUAUAGUUUCUAGCCAAAUACACAACUUAAUAGUAGCUACGGGGUGGACCAAGUCACAAUCCCCAACGGUGCACACCACACACUCGUCAACUAGCAUGUGCAUCACCUCAAAAUAGUGAAGCGAUGCGAAAUCCGGGGCUUCAUACCCUCAGAAUAAGAUUUACAAUCAUUAGUUACCUCGAACAGGUAAAAUCCCUAAUCCGCGAUACCGUUGCCUCUGGAAUCGGCCUCCAAACGCCUCGAAUCUAACCAAAAGCAAUACAAUAUGAUCAAUAUAGGCCAGGGGAUCAAUUUCAAACAAAAAACUAACAAUUUAUACCAAAAUUCCGAAAUUCACCGAAACUUAGUCCCUAGGACCACGUCUCAAAAUCCGACAAAAAUCACAAAACUAGAAACUCCUUUCACCCACGAGUUCACACAUACAAGAUUUAUCAAAGUCCGACUCUAUUUGACCCCUCAAAACCUCAAUUAAAACUCUCCAAAACGCAAGCCCUAACCCCUUGAAUUCACUCCAAAUUCCCACUAAUUCCAUGAUUAAACAGUAGGAAAAUCAUCACAAACACAAAUAAUAAAGCCCAAGUAACUUACCCUACUGAUAGUCCUUGAUUCCUCUUGAACAUCACUGCCCAAGCUCAAAACCCGUCUUCAAAAAUGGAGGAAAUAGGCAAAAAUACGUGAAGGAACCCUUUUAUGUAUUCUGCCAAGCAUUUUUCGCAUCUACGGUCCUUAUCCCGCACCUGUGUCCUUGCUUUUGCGAUCUAAUCAACCGCACCUGUGCUUUCCACUUAAACGCCCAGGACCGCAUCUAUGCCCCAAGCACCGCACAUGCUAUCCCACAGAUGCAUCCAACACACUGCACCUACGGUUCUUCUCCUGAUGGUCAACAUCCGUGUCUACAGUCUCCCUUUCGCAUCCGCUACCUCGCACCUGCGGUUCCCAAUCCGCAGGUGCGGAAAUAAUAGAAGCAGCAACUUCAGCUGCACAUUCUCAAUUCCAAACUUUCCGUUAACCCUCCAAAUUCAUCCCGAGGCCCUCGGGACCCCAACCAAAAAUACCAAGAAGUCACAUAUCACCAAUCAAACUUAUUCAAACCUUCAGAACACUCAAAACAACAUCAAAAUGCCAAAUCACCCUCGAAUUCAAGCCUAAGAACUUCCAAACUUCCGAAUUCAGCAAUCUAUGCUGAAACCUAUCAAACCUUAUCCGAAUGACCUAAAAUUUUGCACGCACAUCACAAGUGACAUAACAUACCUACUCCAAUUUUUAGAAUUCCAUUCCGACACCAAUAUCAAGAUUUCCACUACCGACCAGAAAAUGCCAAAUUUCCAAUUUCGCCAAUUCAAGCCUAAUUCUACCACGGACCUCCAAAUUAUAUUUCAAACACGCUCCUAAGUCCAAAAUCCCCUAACAGAGCUAUUUGAACCAUUAGAAUUCAUAUCUGAGAUCUUGUACACAUAAGUCAACAUCUGGUUGACUUUUCCAACAUAAACUUCCAAAUAAGAGACUAAGUGUCUCAUCCAACUCCAAGACCACUCAGAACCCGAACCAACCAACAGAUACGGAGAAAUACAGCUGAAGAACAUAUAGAGAAGAAGAAACGGGGGAAACAAGUCUAUAACCCAUGAAACGACCGACCGGGUCGUUACAUCCUCCCCCUCUUAAAUAAAUGUUCGUCCUCGAACGAGUCAAGAAACAUACCUGAAGCCUCAAACAGGUGUGGAUAUCUGCUCCGUAUCUCCCGUUCAGUCUCCCAAGUAGCCUCCUCUAUGGGCCGACCUCUCCACUGCACUUUCACUGAAGCUAUUUCCUUAUAUCUCAACUUUCGGACCUACCGUUCCAAAAUAGCCACUGGCUCUAUAUUAUAAGUUAAAUUACCGUCUAACUGAACCGUGCUAAAAUCCAAAACAUGAGACGGAUCGCCAAUAUACUUCCGGAGCAUAAAAACAUGAAAAACCGGAUGCACACUUGACAAGCUAGGUGGCAAAACAAGCUCAUAUGCCACCUCGCCAAUCCUCCGAAGCAUCUCAAAAGGCCCAAUGAACCGAUAGCUCAACUUGUCCUUCUUCCCAAAUCUCAUGACACCAUUCAUGGGUGAAACCUUCAGCAGAACCUUCUCUCGAACCAUGUAAGACACAUCACGGACCUUCCUGUCAGCAUAACUCUUUUUCCUCGACUGAGCUGUACGAAGUCGCUUCUGAAUCACCUUCACCUUGUCCAAAGCAUCAUGUACAAAGUCUGUACCAAAAAGCAUGGCCUCGCCCGGCUCAAACCAACCUACUGGAGAUCUACACCGCCUCCCAUAUAAGGCCUUAUAUGGAGCCAUCUGAAUACUCGACUGAUAGCUGUUGUUACAUGCAAACUUUGCGAGCGAUAGAAACUGGUCCCAUGAACCCCCGAAAUCAAUGACACAAGCGCGCAACAUGUCCUCCAAUAUCUACAUAGUGUGCUCGGACAGUCUGUCCAUAUGAGGGUGAAAAAGUUGUGCUCAUCUUAACCUGAGUACCCAACUCUCGCUACACGGCCCUCCAAAACUACGAUGUCAACAGAGUACCUCUAUCUCAAAUGAUCGAAAUUGGAAGACCACGUAGGCGAACAUUCUCUCGAAUAUAAAUCUCAACUAACCGCUCUGAAGAAUAGGUGGUACACAUAGGAAUGAAAUUCGCGGACUUGGUCAGCGGAUCCACAAUCACCUAAAUAGCAUCAAACUUCCUCAAAGUCCGUGGGAGUACAACUACAAAAUCUAUGGUGAUCCACUCCCACUUCCACUCUGGAAUAUCCAUCCGCUGAAGCAAGCCAACCGGUCUCUGAUGCUCAUAUUUUAGCUAUUAACAAUUGAGACACCGAGCUACAAACCUCACUAUAUCCUUCUUCAUUCUCCUCCACCAAUAGUGAUGUCUCAAAUCCUGAUACAUCUUCGCGGCACUGGAUGAAUGGAAUACUACGAGCUAUGGGUCUCCUCCAGAAUUAACUCCCGAAGCCCAUCUACAUUAGGCACACAUAUACGGCCCUGCAUCCUCAAUACCCCAUCAUCACAAAUAGUCACAUCUCUAGCAUCGUCAUGCUGAGAUUUGUCCAUGAGGACAAGAAAAUGAGAAUAAUCAUACUGGUGCUCUCUUAUGUGAUCAAACAAGGAAGACCGAGAAACCACACAAGCUAAGCUCUGACUGGGCUUCGAAAUAUCCAACCUCGCGAGACGAUUGGCCAAGGUUUGAACAUCAACUGCAAGAGGCCUCCCCCCAAUAGGAAUAAAUGCAAAAGUUCCCAUACUCACCACCUUCCUACUCAAGGCAUCGACCACCACAUUGGCCUUUCCCGGAUGGGAGAAAAUAGUAAUAUCAUAAUCCUUUACCAGCUCCAACCAUCUCUAUUACCUCAAAUUGAGAUCCUUCUGAUUGAACAAGUGAUAGAGGCUACGAUGGUCAGUAAACACCUCACAAGACACACCAUAGAGAUAAUGCCUCCAAAUCUUCAACGAGUGAACAAUGGCAGCUAACUCCAAAUCAUGAACAAGGUAGUUCUUCUCAUGGGGCUUCAACUGACGAGAAGAAUAAGAAAUCACUCUACCCUCUUGCAUCAACACACACCCAAUACCAACUCUAGAAGCAUCACAAUAUAUUGUAUAUGAACCUGAAGCUAAUGGAAAAACUAACACUGGAGUUGUGGUCAAGGCAAUUUUGAGCUUCUGAAAGCUCGCCUNNNNNNNNNNNNNNNNNNNNNNNNNNNNNNNNNNNNNNNNNNNNNNNNNNNNNNNNNNNNNNNNNNNNNNNNNNNNNNNNNNNNNNNNNNNNNNNNNNNNNNGAAAAUCCCUAAACGAAUCGACAGUAAUAACCCGCCAAACCAAGGAAGAUGCGAAUCUCUAUGGCUGAGGACGGUCUGGGCCAACUCUGAACCACCUUUAUCUUCUUUGGAUCAACCUGAAUACCCUCACUGGACACCACGUGCCCCAAGAAAGCCACUGAACUGAGCCAAAACUCACACUUGGAGAACUUUGGAUAAAGCUUCUCCCCCCUCAACCACUGCAAUACAACUCUCAAAUGCUCAGCAUGGUCCUUCUAACUACGCAAGUAUACCAGAAUAUCACCAAUAAAUACAAUAACAAACGAGUCCAAAUAAGGCCGAAACAUGUUGUUCAUCAAAUGCAUGAACGUUGCUGGGGCGUUGGUUAGCCCAAAAGACAUCACAAGGAACUCAUAAUGACCUUAUCGAGUUCUGAAAGUUGUCUUAAGAAUGUCUGAGUCCCUAAUCUUCAACUGGUGGUAUCCUGACCUGAGAUCAAUCUUGGAGAACACUCUCGCUCCCUGAAGCUAGUCAAAUAAAUCAUCAAUACGAGGCAAAGGAUACUUGUUCUUGAUUGUAGCUUUGUUCAAAUGUCGGUAAUCAAUGCACAUCCUCAUCGUGCCAUCCUUCUUCCUCGCAAAUAGGAUAGGUGCUCCCCAAGGUGACACACUAGGUCAAAUAAACCCCUUAUCAAGGAGUUCCUGAAGCUGCUCCUUCAACUCCUUUAAUGCCGCCGGUGCCAUACGAUACAGUGGAAUAGAAAUGGGCUGAGAAAUCAAUACCAAAGUCAAUAUCCCUAUCUGAUGGCAUACCCGGUAGGUUUGUAGGAAACACAUUAGAAAAAUCCCUCACUACCGAAACUGAAUCAAUGGUAGGAGCCACUGCACUCAUAUCCCUCAUGAAGGCCAAAUAAGAAAUACAACCCUUCCCAACCAUCCGCUGGGCCUAAAAAUGAAAUUACUCUACUAGGAACACAAUUCGUCGAACCUUGCCACUCAAUAUGUGGCACCCCUGGCAUAGCUAACGUCAUUGUCUUAGCAUGACAGUCUAAAAUAGCACGACAUGGAGACAACCAAUCCAUGCCCAAUAUCACAUCGCAAUCAACCAUACAAAGAAACAGAAGGUCCACUCGGGUCUCCAAACCCCAAUAGUCACCAUACACGACCGAUAUAUGCAAUCCACAACAUUAGUAUUGCCCAUCGAGUAGAUAUGCAAACAGAUGAAACAAGAGACUCACGGGGCGUAUCCAAAUAACGAGCAAAAUAUUAUGACACAUAUGAAAAAGUGGAACUAGGAUCAAAUAAUACAGAGGCAUCUCUGUGGAAAUCUGAGACAAUACCUAUGAUCAUAGCAUCUGAAGCACUAACAUCUGGUCUGACUGGGAGUGCAGAGAAAUGGGCCUGACCACCACCGGAUCGACCUCCCCCUCUAGGGCAACCCCAGCUGACUAUCCUCCACCCCUAGCUGACUGGGUGGGUGGUGAAGUAACUGGUGCUAAAGUCGAUGGCUCACUCCUCUACCGAGGCGGACCCCAUGACGAUGAGGACACUGCCUCCACAUAUGCCCCAACUCUCCACACUCAUAACAACCCCCUAGUGCUGGAGACGGAGACUGAAAGGAACCCCUAGCACCGGAAUGACUGGUAGAAGAACUUGGCAUGGAUGAGCCCUGAACUGACGGAGCACGGGACGAACUCUGGGCUGGAAGGUAACUAAGUGAUGAAUGGCCCUGAUGAGAACUAUAAGAACCAUGGCCCGAUGAUGCCCAACGAUGAACUGGGUGAGCUGAAUGAUCAUGUUCGAAUGAACGGCCUCUGUCAUGCUGAAACUGACCCCCAUGAGGAGAACCACUAAAUCCACCUUGUCCACGAGGCUUCUUAGCCUCCCUCUCAACCCUUUCCUGACCACGAACCAUUUCAAUCUAUCGAGGAAUGUCGACGACCUCAUCAAAAGUGGCUCUAGACACCCUCUCUCUAGUCAUAAGCAACCGAAGCUGAAACCUGAUGCAAGGCCCGUGUAAAUUUCUACUCAAAACCCGAAAGCUCGUAGUGCCAAGUUAGGUAUAUGUGUUAGAGAUUUGUAAACUCGCCGCAGUUCGGACCCUUUGGAUUGAUCUAUGCAUUAAAAAUUUAAGGAACAAUGUUUUCCAUAAAAGUGCAUUUCUGCGGUCUAUUCUGUGAUCGCAGAAUAGCUUUGCGGACUGCAUAGUUGCCGCAGAGUCAGACAGUCUGAUGGUUAAUUUGAGGUCAACUAUGUGUCCAAUUAUGCGAUCGCAUAAUUAAUAUGCGGGCCGCAUAGUCAUCAUAUAAUCCCCUUGAAAUUUCUGUGAGGGGCAGUUCUGCAGUGCAUUAUGCUACCGCAGAACAGGUGUGCGGGCCGUAUUUCUAUCGCAUAUCGGGGCAGUUUGUUCAGGUUUUUAGGGCCAUCUUUGUAGUCCAUUCUGCGGGCCGCAUGUCCAUUAUGCAAUCGCAUAUGCGAUCACAGAUCGUGUCGGGGCACCUAUUUUCUAACUUUUAAAAUCCGACCCCCAUCCCAGUAAAAACACCCCAUUAGACCCCUUUAAAGAUAUUCUUCUACAAAAGAGUGAGAGGGGAAUUUCUAGAGAGAGCGUGAGAUCUUCAUCAAAUCCCCACUCAAUUCUUGCCUAAACUCUUGAAGAUUAUAAUAUAAAAUUUGAUAGGCCUUCACCCCGGUCAUACCUCUUUUUUACACACCCCAAGGGUAAUAUAAGAUAGUUUUUCCACUUUAAAUGAUAUUAUUCGAAAUGGAAUUAUUUAUUUAAUUCAUUAGAGUUGCCACUUGGAAUAUUUUAAUUGGUGUCCCAAGUCACCGGUUUAUUUUUAAAUCCCAAAUCGAGGAAAUUCGACUUUCCUUUUAAAGUCUGUGAACCAGAAAUUCUAAGUAAAGAAUUCUGUUUACCCGGGAGAAGGUAUUAGGUAUUCUCGAGUUUCGUGGUUCUAGCACGGUCGCUUAAACUAUUAAAAUUGGCCUAUUAUCCGAUUUAUUACAUGUUUUAAUCUAUUGUGAAUUUUUAGCUUAUUAAUCGCUUUUAAUUAUUUUAAAACUCUUGUAGGAAGACUCAACGUUAUUGAAAACAUGCCUUGAAUCAUGCCACAUGAAAUGCACCCGCGGUUCGUGACACGUUCUACUUGACAUUGUUAAGAAUUGAUUGGGUCACAUGAAAUGUGCACUCGAGUUUAAUAAAUAAAAGAAAAUCAAUUUAAAUAGCGCGCCUAAAGCAACUACGAAAUUUCAAAUUAAUAACAGGGUUUGCGAGGGCAAUGGAAGAUUCAAUUGAUGGCACGCCUUGAUUUUUAGAAGAGUUAGUAUUAAUUGUCUGAGGGCCAUGGGUUAUCUAAUUUUGCUUAUGGCACACCUCAAGUCUAAAAGGUAAUAGGCAUCUUUAGAGGCAAUCUAGAACUAAUUAUUACACGGUUAAAGCAAUCUACCAUUAUUCAAGCUUAUUUAAUACAAAAUUAAUAAUUUACAUGAGGGCCAUGAGUGAUAUGGUGAAAAUGGCAUACCCCAAUUUAACCAAAAGAAUUACUUUAACUUAAGAUUUAAAGCCAUAUUCAUAUAACUACUGAAGUUACGCUAGGCUUUCAUGCGUUUGGGCCAGGCCUGCUAUAGGCAAAACUUGGCAGUAGUAGUUAAAUGAGAUGAUGGGCUCGAAAAUCAGGCCCAAGCACCAUAGAGCAUACAAAUUCCCAUUUACAGGUGACCCCAAGUUUGAGCCCAAAGUAGACCCCAAUGACAGUCCAAUACAAACAUAUGACAGAAGGAUUCAAACCCCCAAAUGAAAUCAAAAUGGCAAACCUAAAGUCUAAAUACAAACUCAAUACAAAUUUUAAUAUUCAUGGCACGAGUAAAUAAAAUGAGUGAUGUGAUGAAACAUGAAUUGAUAUAGAACUAAGACAAGUUUCAGUAAUACAAAUGGGCAAUCAGCCAAACUAGAGUCUACAUCUCCAACAAUGCUUCCGAUUCAAACUUCAUAUAUUGAUAAAAAUCCAAAGAGGUGGUUACAGCAAAGACAACAAAUAAAAUGAUCCUGAGAUUAGGAGGAAAGCAGCAGCAGUGUAUCAGCAAUAAGUAGCACAACCCACAGUCAAGUUUUACACCAUUUUGCACCCAGAUUAACACAGUUCUUUCGAGUUUUUAGGAGAAUCUGACUAACAAUGGAGGUCAAAGUGCAAAACCAAGCAAAUUUCCAAACAAAUUUUAGUAUUUUUUUCAAAGUCUAAAAUGCUCAGUCGUUUCUGAAAAUUUUAGGGUUCUAAACUCUAAAUUCUCUCCCUUGAAAAGAAAGAAAACAAGUCUCUUAUAGAAGACCUCUAGGGCAGCAGAAUUGGUUUCAGGUUUUUACCAAUUACCCCUUCUUCAAUUUUCAAUUUGUUCAUUUUUAACCAAGAAUUUUAAAACCAACUUCUGAAACUACCCAACCCUCUCUUUCCUGGAAGUUUCCUAUUCAGUUAUAAGAGAUUCCCUCUAGUUGGAAUGACCAAAAUAACCCUUAACACCCCUACAUUUACUUGCCAACUACUGAACCAAAACUCAAAGGAAAAUUUCGGGCCACUUCUUCCCCAACAAAGAUGGGCCAAAUAACCCAAAAGGCCCAAACAAGAAUUUUCAAAAUGAAACUGACUAAACAACAUCAUUUAAAAAUGCACUGUGACUGACUUUCAAACCAAACCAUGCUAAAAUGCAUCAAUCAAUUAAAACAAAUAACAAUAUGAAAACAGCAGGCCUGAUGAUUGCUCUAAUCUUUAAAGAAUUUAGCCUAAUCAAACAAACUAGACAAUUAACCUAUGGAACACAUGAUAAACCAAAAAAUAUUCGGUGCGCAAAGAUUAAAUAUUGAAGAGAAGAGUCAAAAAAACAAAGAAAAAAUACACAAAGAAAACAAGGAUAAAAGAAACAUGAGUAAACCUGAUUAGAGGAAAGUGGAAGAAAAGGUAAAAAAACGUAGAAGAAAAGAAAAAAUAAAAAAGAUAGGCAAAAGGGAAAAAUAAAAAGAAAAUACCUAAUACUUGACUCUCAGAAGCUCCGGCCAUUCCGAUUUGAGCUCAAAAUUUAUGUCAACUGUGUAUUCUUGUCAAGAACAAAUGGGCAAUGUCAGUUUCGUGCAAAAUAGAACCUUUUAGCUUUGCAUGCCCUAGAUUCCGGGUUAGGGUGGAUUUGGGCUUUUAGGGCUUCGACCUUAGAUCUAAAAUUCAAACAAAUGGAGAGGGAUUCGAUGAAAGUUGUUUUAAUAUUUAGGAAGAGGAGAGGCCACGGAUCAUGGGGUGUAAUUUUGAGGUGGAUUGGGGGUUGCGCCGCCGGCGGAUGGCUUGGGAAUUUCAGGGCAGCGGAUUUAGGGUUCAUGGAGUUUCUUUGAGUGAGAAGAUGAGUGAGUGGGUAGAUUGGGGGGG
This 10272-nucleotide long non-coding RNA is filed under the name Nicotiana tabacum (common tobacco). RNAcentral describes it as "long non-coding RNA (NTAB_LNC012661)". The record is from RNAcentral. Lineage: Eukaryota; Viridiplantae; Streptophyta; Magnoliopsida; Solanales; Solanaceae.